This is a long non-coding RNA of Pezoporus occidentalis (night parrot), 1406 nucleotides long. RefSeq lists it as uncharacterized. Lineage: Eukaryota; Metazoa; Chordata; Aves; Psittaciformes; Psittacidae. The record is from RefSeq and is a predicted model, not a curated record. The transcript is spliced from 2 exons.
AGCACUCAGUUCACUUCCUAGUGUUACUUCAGUUUUUGUCACGGCCUCUGAGUUCUUAGCUGUCUAUGUGCUGUUCAGUGCCUCCCCAAGCAUGGAUAAUAGAUAUUUGGACUAAAAAAGGAAAGCAACUUUUUCAAUUAAGGGCAAAAUGUACAGAAAGUAAAUGACACAAGUUUUAUCAGCUGUCUAUUGGCUUCUAUGUGCACAGUCUCCAGAUACAAUCAGUAGGUGCUCAAACAGAUAAUUACAGUCUUCCUGUAAAAGGCUUCAUGUAGGAGAGCCACCUGCCUGCCUGCUACCACUUGCAGGAUCAGAGUUGUUCUUUAUUUUUACUGCUGCAGAUUGUGGAAUCACACUUUUCCAACUUCUGUUUGGAAAAAAGAAGCGUUUUUCUAGCACAUCUCCUUUCAGAGGACUGCUGCACCAGAUGACAUUCUGCCUGGCAGAAACAUGUAAAGAAACUGGAGAGAAAUAUCCUUAACAAUUUGUGAGUGACAUAUUUGGGUUUGUGUUUAAUUCUUGUUGGAUAAGUUUUAAAAGGAUGAAACUUUACAUUUGAAAAUGAAAGGAAUAAGAUAGACAUAAUACUUUCGAGCAUAUAAGUGACCUGUUUCUCAGUGCUGUUUAUCAGGAAUAUUGCUGUUGCAUUUACUAGAACUCUCCUCUCUUUAGUCCCACUUGAAACCCCUCUUCAAAUUAAUGGAACAAUCCUCCUUCCACCAAAUGCAGGACCACUGUCGCUUAUGUUACCAAGAAUUAUUGUUAUUUUCAGAAUAAAUAUUUCUGAAAAUAGCAUGUAGUGUCAGUACACUUGAUUAAAUGUCCAAGAACAGAGAUUAAAUGAUCAGAGUCAACAGAGGAGAUGUGAAUUAAAGGGCAACAUGCAUACUUGGGUUUCGUUGGUGAAUACCAGUGAAAGCUCACCUUGAUGUGGAUCUUGCAGAAGCAGAAGACUGACAGCAUUGUAAAAAAGAAAAGCCACCUUUGUACAAGGCAUGUUUAAUUUUGUAUUUCCUUACACCUUCCAUCAGGUAGCGUCACCAGGUAGCUGGUGAUGGGUGUCCAUCACUAGCUCAGCAUCAAAGCAGCACAAGCUAGCAUGUAUGCUCAUAAACUCAGUAUUGUGGCUGAAUCACUGUGCAAGCACAGAAUAAACCAGGGAUCUGAACUAGAUCUGAACCCUGCAGAAGCUAGAGACGCACUCCAGUGCGAUGGACUGUCGUUCCAUAGGAUAUUUUUUGCAACACUAUGGGUCUUCACUGUCUCCAAGGGGUUAGUAUAUAGUCUACAGCUUCGAUGAUGCCAGGUUUCUGAACAGUGGGCAAAUCUGCUCACACAUUUAGGCAUUGGAUUCUCCCAGUGGGACUGAAGAUUUAUAGGAGGCUAUGAUUUGUGUAGUAGGAAAA